AUACGGGGUGUGCAAGCGUUAAUCGGAAUUACUGGGCGUAAAGCGCGCGUAGGCGGUUUGCUCAGUCGGAUGUGAAAGCCCAGGGCUCAACCUUGGAACUGCAUACGAUACUGGCAAACUAGAGUGUGAGAGAGGAUAGUGGAAUUUCCGGUGUAGCGGUGAAAUGCGUAGAUAUCGGAAGGAACAUCAGUGGCGAAGGCGACUGUCUGGCUCAACACUGACGCUGAGGUGCGAAAGCGUGGGUAGCAAACAGGAUUAGAAACCCUAGUAGUCC
RNAcentral lists this ribosomal RNA (274 nucleotides) under uncultured bacterium. RNAcentral's name for it is "partial 16S ribosomal RNA". It matches the Rfam family "Bacterial small subunit ribosomal RNA", at positions 523 to 796 of the family's 1533-position model. The record is from RNAcentral.